CCACCCUUCUUACAAAUUUUUCCUCUCAAUUUUUCUUUCUCUUUUUCUCAAAUUUUUUUUAGAAUUUUUUUCUCUAUUACAUGCCAAUUGGCUCUGAUUUUUAUCCAAAAAUUCAGUCCUUAGCCCAUAUGGGAUGCCUCAUAUAUAUAGGCUAAGAAGGGACGUGAGAAAGGACCAAGGGGUGCCAACUCUUGGCGCUCCAAAUUCUCAUGAAAAAAAAUAAAUCUUUAUGAUUUAUUUUGGUGUAGAAGAGCCCUCACAUAGAACGACUCUUCCUCUU
This 280-nucleotide long non-coding RNA is filed under the name Elaeis guineensis (African oil palm). RNAcentral describes it as "long non-coding RNA (EGUI_LNC072160)". Lineage: Eukaryota; Viridiplantae; Streptophyta; Magnoliopsida; Arecales; Arecaceae. The record is from RNAcentral.